UACGUAGGGGGCAAGCGUUGUCCGGAUUUAUUGGGCGUAAAGAGCGUGUAGGCGGUUUGGUAGGUCCGCUGUGAAAACUCGAGGCUCAACCUCGAGACGCCGGUGGAAACCAUCAGGCUAGAGUCCGGAAGAGGAGAGUGGAAUUCCUGGUGUAGCGGUGAAAUGCGCAGAUAUCAGGAGGAACACCGGUGGCGAAGGCGGGUCUCUGGGCAACUACUGACGCUGAGGAGCGAAAGCGUGGGGAGCGAACAGG
RNAcentral lists this ribosomal RNA (253 nucleotides) under uncultured bacterium. RNAcentral describes it as "partial 16S ribosomal RNA". It matches the Rfam family "Bacterial small subunit ribosomal RNA", at positions 524 to 776 of the family's 1533-position model. The record is from RNAcentral.